Molecule: transfer RNA, 85 nt
Filed under: Felis catus (domestic cat)
Lineage: Eukaryota; Metazoa; Chordata; Mammalia; Carnivora; Felidae
Rfam family: tRNA
About the family: Transfer RNA (tRNA) molecules are approximately 80 nucleotides in length.
Source: Rfam by way of RNAcentral
ACCUGGGUGGCUGAGUGGGUUAAGCGUCCGACUUUGGCUCAGGUCAUGAUCUCACGGUUUGUGGGUUCGAGCCCCACAUCAGGCU